Molecule: unclassified non-coding RNA, 388 nt
Filed under: Hevea brasiliensis (rubber tree)
Lineage: Eukaryota; Viridiplantae; Streptophyta; Magnoliopsida; Malpighiales; Euphorbiaceae
Source: RNAcentral
GAUUUUGUUUGAUGGGAUUCCAAGGGGCCUAGCCGGAGGGUGCCAAGUGUGUGCAGGAUUCAGGUUUGUGAUGUGCAUGGAGUGUAAUGGAAGCUGCAAGGUGUUGGAUGAGCAGCAAAAGAAAAUGGUAAAAUGUGGUGAGUGCAAUGAAAAUGGGUUAAUACAUUGCCCUAUUUGUUGCUAAUUUAAUCCUCUAUUCCCUCCAAUUUCCUUUUUAACUUCUGGAAUUGGUAUUGAGAUUCUGGGAUUUUUCUUUGUUUGAUUCUUGUAUGAAGAAUGAUUCUUGAUUGGUUUAGAUUCCUCUGGCUUGUAAUUUGGGAUAUUAAUCUGUUUAAUAUAUCAAUGUAAUUUGUACAUUUUUUUUCUUCAGCAAUUAAUUAAAACUUUU